Molecule: non-coding RNA, 774 nt
Organism: Cinara cedri
Lineage: Eukaryota; Metazoa; Arthropoda; Insecta; Hemiptera; Aphididae
Source: the annotation of a GenBank genome assembly
GGAUACUAUUUUGGAAAAGUGUACAAUAUAUAUAAUAUUUAAUUAAAUUAUGGGGCAUAGACCUUAUUAGUAGGUUAUAUAGAAUUAUUAGAUCUAUAUAAUUAUAUAAUAGGAUAUUAUAACAUCAGAUACCCACAUAUAAAGGGUUUUUCAAUAAGAGCGGGUCGAUGUUGAAAUGAAAUAAAACAAGCUAUGUGUGAGGUAUUAGUGAAAUUUUUUUUUUAUUUUAAAGUUCUAAGUAUGCCAAUUAUGUUUUGAAUAUAAUAUCGUUUAAAUGUCCGCCACGGCUUCUCACAGUGGCACGAAUCCGAGUGGUCCAAUUUUCAAUAACUCUGCCGCAUAGAUCCGGUUGAAUUUGAGCGAUGACCUGGGUUAUGUUCACUUUAAGGUCAUCUGUCGAUUUCGGCUUAUUGGCAUAGACCUGCGACUUCAGGAAACCCCACAAGAANUCUUAUACGAGUGUAAGCCCAAGUCCCGGCGCAAAAUUCGCCAAGUUGAAGACUGUGAAAGACCGACUUCUUGUGCACGGCGAGGAAUUGACUGCCUCGGGUUCUCCUGCACACUUUCACGUACCGCGGCGAUAUUCUGGACCGAUCUGGCGUUUCUUUGACGUACGGGUGUUAACUGAUCGUUUACCGAACCAGUUGUCUCAAAUUUCGAUACCAAACGUUAGAUAGUCGACUUUGAAGGACCACUACGUCGGCCAAAAAAUGUCAACAAAACGAUAAGGCUAUACAGCGCAGAUAAGAUCGGCCCGCUCUAAUUGGAAAACCC